AUUGAACGCUGGCGGAAUGCUUUACACAUGCAAGUCGAACGGCAGCACGGACUUCGGUCUGUUGGCGAGUGGCGCACGGGUGAGUAAUGUAUCGGAACGUGCCCAGUCGUGGGGGAUAACGUAGUGAAAAUUACGCUAAUACCGCAUACUAUCUAUGGAUGAAAGCGGGGGAUCGCCAGACCUCGCGCGAUUGGAGCGGCCGAUAUCAGAUUAGGUAGUUGGUGGGGUAAAGGCCCACCAAGCCAACGAUCUGUAGCUGGUCUGAGAGGACGACCAGCCACACUGGAACUGAGACACGGUCCAGACUCCUACGGGAGGCAGCAGUGGGGAAUUUUGGACAAUGGGCGAAAGCCUGAUCCAGCCAUUCCGCGUGCAGGAUGAAGGCCCUCGGGUUGUAAACUGCUUUUGUACAGAACGAAAAGGUUUCUACUAAUACUAGGAGCUCAUGACGGUACUGUAAGAAUAAGCACCGGCUAACUACGUGCCAGCCGCCGCAGUAA
Molecule: ribosomal RNA, 500 nt
Filed under: uncultured bacterium
Lineage: Bacteria
Description: partial 16S ribosomal RNA
Rfam family: Bacterial small subunit ribosomal RNA
Source: RNAcentral